AACGUUGCUUGUAUCUAACAAACCUUACACUAAGGUUCAAAAAGAACGAAAGUAAAUCAACACACUCUUAAAUAGCAUGCUAACCUAAUGUAAACUAAAGAUCUUUUGCAUUUUCAUUCUGUGCGCGCUCAACAUACCAAUCCAAUCAUACAUGUUUCACUAGUUCACGAUCAAUUAAUAAUUCACAGUUGAACCAAAUCAGCCAUAGGUCUGAUUCACAGUUGAACCAAUAGUCUAUUCCGAGAUUAAUAAUUCUACUGCACUCAAGUAUAUAGAAAUUGGAAUAAAAUGUAAAGUUAAAAGUAAAAUGUAAAGUUAAAAGUAAUGCUUAAGGGCCCUAAAACACAAUUAUACCAUGAAGAAUGAACACAACAACUUUGAAGAUAGCGUCAUAGUUUUCUGCUCAAAACAUUGAAACCAGGUACAAA
Cicer arietinum (chickpea) is the source of this 428-nucleotide non-coding RNA. NCBI's taxonomy places the organism in Eukaryota, Viridiplantae, Streptophyta, Magnoliopsida, Fabales, Fabaceae. The record is from RefSeq and is a predicted model, not a curated record.